Danio rerio (zebrafish) is the source of this 641-nucleotide non-coding RNA. Lineage: Eukaryota; Metazoa; Chordata; Actinopteri; Cypriniformes; Danionidae. The record is from RefSeq and is a predicted model, not a curated record.
GUCUGGAUGAGCAGUGAUGGAGGAUUACUGCCCUGAACAGCCAACACACGCUUCAGAAAACCAGACCUAGCAGAGGAUACAGGACUCGAAACCAGGCUUAGCCAGAGCUGCCAGACGUCCCAGACUGACCGCAUAAAGCCCAGAGUCUAUGAAUUCAGAGAGAUAUUAAAGCUCCCCUUUAAAUCCGCAACACACCUGUGAGUAACAGCAGAUAUGAAGCGCCGCUGGCCGUCUUGAAGUGCAGGUGAGCGAAUACACCGUUCACGUCAACAUUGACCCUGGAGCCGAGCUGAUCACCAGAUUUCCCAGAGAAAAACACCAGUUCAGUCUAAAGGAGGGAGGAGAUCACAGUGAAUCUUCAGCGUUAGUGAGCUUUAGAGUUGAGAUCCGGGACGCUGAUCAGCGGGAGAUUUCCAUGCAUCAAAGUCGAACGCGAAUGCUGCCACAUGAUCUGACCUGAUGGAGAGGCAACGGGAACAUUUGGAUGAAAUACUGUCGCGUUAUAUUCAGUGCUGGGUUUACCUGCAUUCAAACAUGUGUUACGGCUGGCAUCAGCAUCUCUGUAGAUGAAGAACACAUCUAACACCUUGUCUUCAUUGGCAUCCUCAACAGCCAGGAAAUCAAACGUGGCUAAAACAGAG